This 1884-nucleotide ribosomal RNA is filed under the name Candidatus Azambacteria bacterium. RNAcentral describes it as "bacterial LSU rRNA". It matches the Rfam family "Bacterial large subunit ribosomal RNA", at positions 1 to 1726 of the family's 2925-position model. The record is from RNAcentral. Lineage: Bacteria; Candidatus Azamiibacteriota.
GAAUAGGUUAUUAAGGGCGUAUGGAGGAUGCCUUGGCACAAAAAGGCGAUGAAGGACGCGGCAUGACUGCGAUAAGCGUCGGGGAGCCGUCUAGCGGGCUUUGAUCCGGCGGUGUCCGAAUGGGGCAACCCAUGGCGAGUAAUGUCGCCAUAUCUUUAUCCGUAAGAGAUAAAGGAGCAAACCCGGGGAAGUAAAACAUUUCAGUACCCGGAGGAAAAGAAAAAAAGAAUCAAUCUAUUAUUCAUGGGUCCGGAUAGUCGGGCUAAUGAAUAAUAUUUUGAUAAUAUUCCCCCAGUAGCGGCGAGCGAAAAGGGAGGAGUCCAAACCCAUCCGAUACUUUCGCAAGAAAGUAACGGGUGGGGGUUGUAAGGAAUAAUCGUUCUUGUAGCAAUACAAGAGGAAAGUCUAUAAACUUCCACCCUUCGGGUGGUCGCCCGCAGGGGCGAAAAAAUUGAUUAGUUGAACGGUUUUGGAAAAGCCGACCAAAGGGGGUAAUAGUCCCGUAAGCGAAAAUCUUUUUAAUACUUUCUGGUUAUUUUCUUGAGUACCGCGGGGAAAGACUGCCCCGCGGGAAGCCGGGAGAACUACACUCCCAAGACUAAAUACUUUUUGUGACCGAUAGUGAACUAGUACCGUGAGGGAAAGGUGAAAAGCAGCCCGGUGAGGGCGAUGAAAUAGAUCCUGAAACCAUACGCUUACAAAGAGCGGGAGCCCGCAAGGGUGACCGUGUGCCUAUUGAAGAAUGAGCCAACGACUUUAUAGGAACGGCUUGGGUAAACCUCGUUUGAGGCGGACCCGUAGGGAAACCAAGUCUGAAUAGGGCGUUUUUGUCGUUCUUAUAAGACCCGAAGCCAGGCGAGCUUACCAUGGUCAGGUUGAACCCCGCAGAAAUGCGGGGGGAGGACCGCACCCACUAGCCGUGCGACACUAGGGGAUGAACUGUGGUAAGAAGUGAAAAGCUAAUCGAGCCUGGGAAUAGCUGGUUCUCUCCGAAAUAGUUUUAGGACUAGCCCCGCGUGUUUUUUAUUGGAGGUAGAGCACUGGUUGGUAUUGAUUGGCGCAAGCUAGCAAGACCAGUCAAACUCCGAAUUCCAUUAAAAUAACUCGGGAGUCAGUAUUCGGGGGCAAAGCUCCGAAUACAAGAGAGCAAGAACUCGGACCAUCGUCUAAGGUCCCUAAAUUUUGGCUAAGUGUAGAAGGAAGUGAUGCGUCGAAGACAAAUAGGAGGUUGGCUUAGAGGUAGCCAUCCUUUAAAGAGUGUGUAACAACUCACUAUUAUAUUUCCCUUUGGGAGAUUGACGCAUCGCGCCGAAGAUAUAACGGGACUAAGCCAGAUACCGAAGACAUGGGUUUGCGAAUUUUAAUUCGCAAGCGGUAGGAGAGCGUUUUUAGCGCAGCGAAGAUUGACCCGCGAGGGCGAUUGGAGCGCUAAGAAGUGAAAAUGUUGGCAUGAGUAACCUGCAAGACAGAUGAGAAAUCUGUCCGCUGAAAGCCUGAGGUUUCCUUGGCAAUGAAAAUCAGCCAAGGGUUAGGCGGUCCUAAGGCAAUGGAGAAAUCCGCAGCCGAUGGACAGACGGUUAAUAUUCCGUCCCUAUCUCAAGCGCUUUUACGGAAUGACGAAGUUUAGUAUGCCGGGCGCCUUAUUGGAUUGGCGUUCUUUGCAUCAGAGUUUUUGGAAGGCAAAUCCUUCCAAAUGCGUUUAAUCGCAAACUUAAGUGUCGAGAAAAUUUUCCCGUUCGCGGGAAGAAAUUUGGCAAAGCAAGCUUCCAAGAAAACUUUCGUAAAUUAGCUUGAGGUAUCCGUACCGAAAACCGACACAGGUGGGCAGGGCGAGCAGCCCACAGCGAACGAGUGAUCCGUGGUUAAGGAACUCGGCAAAAAAGC